GAAUAGGGUAACACUGUUGAGAGUUGGGCAAGACUAGAAAAGUAGCGUUAGUUUCCUCUCGUCCGCUAUUGAAAACAGAUAGAUAGACCUGUCUUCAAUUUUAUCGAUUAUUAACGUUUAAAAAUACCUAAAGUUGUAUUACAAAAGUAUUUUGAAAUGUUUUGGCAAAGUUUGCAGGUAACUUUUGAGAUAUUUUGUAGUGACUUUGUGCAAAACGCUUUGAAAGCUUUGAAGCUGUUUUUUUCUGGAUCAAACACGCCAAAUAAAUUGACAUUUUGGAUAUAUUUAUUUUUAUAGGCAAGUCAGUUAAGUACAAGUUCUUAUUUUCAAUGACGGCCUUGAAACAGUGGGUUAACUGCCUGUUCAGGGGCAGAACAACAGAUUAGUACCUCAGGGAUUUGAACUUGCAACCUUCCGGCUACUAGUCCAAUGCUCUAACCACUAGGCUACCCUGGAUGGAAUUAUUCAAACAAAAGGACCAUUUGUGAUGUUUAUGGGACAUAUUGGAGCGCCAACAAAAAAAGCUUGUCAAAGAUUGGAACACAUUCUUCUACCUGGUGAAAGUUGGUAAUGCACUGCUGUUCCUCCUGUGCACCAUCGUUUCUGUGGUGAAGUUCAGGGAAAACCAAAAUCAAGAUGAUACCAAGGAUGCAUCGAAACUAGAGAGUUGUUUCUGGAGCAAUCAAAGGGUGCAGUUUACCAACAGUUUGCACUAAAUGCAAAGUUACUCAAACAUGCAGCUGCCAUUAGUUUUAAAUGUAUUUUUUCUUUAUCGUAACCUUCAUUCUAAAUUUUUGUAUAUCUUCAAUAUUUAAUUCCCUCUGGGAGUAAGAGCUAUACAUCUUCAUUCUUAGAUCUACGUGCAGUAUGCCAUGCUGUAAAUGUGGGUAUCAGAUUCUAUUCCCAACAACACAUUGUAUUUUUCUAUAUCCAAAAUGUGUCUAAAUACCACACUAUACCAAUAACAAAUACUUGAUGUGUGUACUUAUCUGUACAUUAUGUUUGUUUCAUUUUAUAAUAAUUAUUCUACUCAAAUAUGUAUGUGUUGUGAAAUGAAACUCUUGAAGAAUG
Molecule: long non-coding RNA, 1071 nt
Organism: Oncorhynchus kisutch (coho salmon)
Lineage: Eukaryota; Metazoa; Chordata; Actinopteri; Salmoniformes; Salmonidae
Exons: 2
Source: RefSeq, a predicted model, not a curated record